UACGAAGGGCGCUAGCGUUGUUCGGAAUCACUGGGCGUAAAGCGCACGUAGGCGGAUGUGUCAGUCAGGGGUGAAAUCCCGGAGCUCAACUCCAGAACUGCCUUUGAUACUGGGAGUCUUGAGUUCGGGAGAGGUGAGUGGAACUGCGAGUGUAGAGGUGAAAUUCGUAGAUAUUCGCAAGAACACCAGUGGCGAAGGCGGCUCACUGGCCCGAUACUGACGCUGAGGUGCGAAAGCGUGGGGAGCAAACAGG
Molecule: ribosomal RNA, 253 nt
Filed under: uncultured bacterium
Lineage: Bacteria
Description: partial 16S ribosomal RNA
Rfam family: Bacterial small subunit ribosomal RNA
Source: RNAcentral